GCCUGGACGGGGAGCCUCGGGAGGAGCCGCGAGCGGCCGGAGCCGAGCCGGGCGAGCCGCGGUGCAUUAGCAGGGAGCUGAAUUGGAAGUGGAGCAGCCGGGAUUCGAACUGGCGCCAGUGUCUCAGGAGGUGGCUUAACCCACUGUACUGCGAUGCUGGCCCCUCACUCAGGAGACUUUUGUUCCACCCCUCUAAUGUGCCAGUAUUGGAGUGUCCUGCAUUAGCAGGAAGUUGACGAGAAGCAGAAGAGCAGGUCCCGAACCAGGUGCUUCGAUAUUGUGUACACUCCAACGGCUUUACCUCCUGUGCCACAGCACCAGCUGAUGAAGGCUCAAGUGUCUGGGCCCCUGCCACCCACAUGGGAGACGUGGGUGGAGUUCCUGGCUGCUGGCUUCUGCCUAACCCCAGCGCUGGCUGUUGUGGCUACUUGGAGAGGGACCAGUGGAUGGACGAUCGCUCUGUCUUGUUCUGUUGCGGAGCUUUUCAACUAGA
Molecule: long non-coding RNA, 493 nt
Organism: Lepus europaeus (European hare)
Lineage: Eukaryota; Metazoa; Chordata; Mammalia; Lagomorpha; Leporidae
Exons: 3
Source: RefSeq, a predicted model, not a curated record